RNAcentral lists this long non-coding RNA (26864 nucleotides) under Lynx pardinus (Iberian lynx). Lineage: Eukaryota; Metazoa; Chordata; Mammalia; Carnivora; Felidae. The record is from RNAcentral.
UUCUCCAGAGAACACUGAUGAAGCUUACAUUGUUCCAACUAUUCCGGCUCUAUCUUAAAUAUGGUGGCGGAACUUCAUUCAACUCUGUGGCCCCCAUGCACCACCACCCUGAAGCUUUCAAUCUGCAGACACUCUGGGAAGGGAAUAUCUGUUGGAUGAAUGGUGAGCAACUUAAAUCAAACCUUCUCCCUCAGGUGUGAUCAUAUCCAACUUCCUCACAGUUUUCUCUUCAGCUCCUUCAGAGGUUUAAGAGUCCAGCUGGACAGCCAAAUUGAAGCAGAAGUCUGUGCCAGAAUCUUGGAAUCUUAGUCUAAUCUCUGGAUAGCCUUGGGAGAAUCAGGCAAAAGGCAUCUGACAAAUAUGCCCAAAGUGAUUAUGUCACCUCAGCAGUAAGAGCAUUGUUCGGUGUCCUCAGUCACCUGAAAGCUCUCCUUGUUGCAGUUACGAUCUGAAGAGACCAGCCGCCGGCUGGCUGCUCAGCAGGGUGUCAUCACAAAGUGGCAUUACCAGGGUGAAGCACCAGAGGCUCAGGGCCUCAACUUUUCUGCAUUUGAUCAGAAAUUUGAUUGGACCUAUUGUUCAAGAUAAGCGUAUUAGUCAAGAGUUCUCCAGAGAAAUGGAACCAGGAAUGCCUUGUGCAGUAGGAUAUUAGGAGGAGAUUUAUCCUAGGAAUUGGCUCCCGUGAUUAUGGAGCCUGAUCUGUAAGCUGGAGAGCCAGGAAAGCUGGCAAUAUAGUUCUGUCUGAGUCCAAAGGCCUGAGAAUGGGGGCUGGGUAUAGGGGGGGAAUGAUGGUGUUGGUCCCGGGUGAGGCAGAAAUCCAACAACCAGGAGCACCAAUAUCUGAGGGGCAGGAAAAGAGAAAUGUCUCAGCUCAAGUUGAGAGAGCAAAUUUAUUCUUUCUCUGCCUUAUUCCAUUCUUAUUCCUCUACACCCUCAGUGUAGACUGGAGGAUCCCCACCUCAUUGGCAAGGGUGACCUUCUUUACUCAGUCUACUGAUUCAAAUGCUAAUCUCUUCCAGAGACACCCUCACAGGCACACUCAGAAAUAAUGUUUUACCAGCUGUCUGGGUCUCCCUUAGCCAAAUCAAGUUGAUAAAAUUAACCAUCAUAGAAGGGUGACCAAACUCUGGGAAACUAAGUCACACUCCCCCAAAACAGUUCCCAAUGGGUCAGAGAUUCAACCAACUGGAAAUUUAGUCCUUCUACCCUAGUGAAAUAAAUACAGAAACUUUAUGCACAAAAAGGUCAGAGGAUUUUUUUUUUCUUUUUAAAAAAAAUUUUUAAGUUUAUUUAUCUAUUUUGAGAGAGAGAGCAAACAGGGUAGGGAGAGAGAGACAGGGGAGAGAGAAUCCCAAGCAGUCUCUGCACUGUCAGCGCAGAACCUGAUGUGGGGCUUAAACUCACGAACCCUGAGAUCAAAAUCAAGAGCCUGACACUUAACUGAGUCACCCAGGCACCCCAAGAAUGUACAAUUAUUAAAGCACUGUAAGUUUUGAAACAGCCAAACUAAACAAUUCAGGUCAGAAUAUACAUGGAAAGACUGAAUUAUCUGAAUUGUGCACCCUACUCCCUGUCAUCAGAUGAUUAUAUGAUUUUGCUUUACUUUGUGCUCUGUAGACACAAGCUUGCUCUUUAGAAGAAGCUUCUUGGGCACUUUGUGAAGGAAGAGCUUAGUGCUUUGAAUGGUUUGUUGGGACUCCACCAUCCCUUUGGUGCAUUUACUUAUAUUUACUGAAAAAUUUACUUAUAUCUAAAUAAAAAGAAAAAUGAACACAUAUUAGCAUUUAGUAUAAAACACCAAACCUGAGUUAUAAACCACAUUCUACAUCAUGUCAUAUUUUUCUUUUUUAUAGGUUCUAUUGUGAAAAUUUCCCACCAUACACAAAAGUCAAGUAUAAUAAUCCUCCAUGGGCACCUGAGUGGCUCAGUUAAGCCUCUGAUUCUUGAUUUCAGCUCAGGUCAUGAUCUUACUUUUGUGGCUUUGAGCCCCCGCUUCAGGCUCUGCACUGACAGCCUGCUUGAGAUUCUCUCUCUCUCUCUGUCUCUGCCCCUCCCCUGCUUGUACUCUAUCUCUCUCAAAAUAAAUAAAUACCCCCCCCCCCCAAAAUCCCCCAUGAAUCUUUCACCUAACUCCAAUAAGCAUCUUAUUUUGCCGUCUUGUUUCCUAUCUCCCUCUUGGUUUGGCUAGGAUAUUUUAAAGUGAAUCCUAGACAUUAAAUGUCAUUUCACCCCAAAAUACUUCAUUAUACAUCUCAAAAUAUGACAUUUUAUAGUCACAGUGGCAAUAUCACACCUAAGGAUUUUUUUUUCUUGUAAGAAAAGGGGAUUAACUAUUUCAACUAUUACAUAGUUGGAAUUUUUCUUUAUAAUAGGCAUGUUUUACUGUUACACUAAAAUGCACAUUUGUAAGUUAUUGCAGCACAUAAUUCAUGUGUGAGACCAAAUUUUGGUUCUGUGAGGGUAGAGACCAUGUUAUUUUGCCUUGACCCUGUACCUCUAGCACAUAGCACAAUGUCUAAGAUGCUGUAGGUGCCAAAUGAAUUUCCAAAUAAGCUUCUUUACUCUUGUCAUUCUAUUCUAAUUUAAAAAGUGUUCACAGUCAUAUAAAUUAGGGAAAGGCUGUUUAGUCAACAGAGUCUUUAGACACUAUAGUCCAUAGUUUCCCAACUUGCAGAUAGUGUCUAUUAGUGGUUUGUGAAAUUAGUGCAGUGAAUCACAGCUGGCAUAAAAAAAAAAAAAAAAAGAAUAGAAUUCAGUAGGAAAAAAAAACAGUACACUUAAUGAGGAUAUUGUUUCAUGAAAUUUUGUUUCCGUUUUGCACAUGCUGUGUGGUGAUGUAAAAUGUAUUUCUUAACUCUGGGUUGCAGUCAAAAAGUUGGAGAGCCACUGGUCAGGUCUAAUUUAUACACACACCCUGCUCCCCAGCCAUAACAAACCACUUUCAGUUCCCUAAAAUGUCAUGCCAGUUUCUGCUCUAGAGGACCUGGUACUUCUUGUUUCCUUUACCUGAAACGUACUUGCCCUCCUUGUCUACCUGUGGGCCCCUGGCUUUCUCUUCAAGAUGCCGCUGAAGCCUCUCCCCUGUGAACCCCUGUGAUCCUUCUGAGCAGAUCCAGACUCCCUACCAGGUGUUUCCCCCUCCCCUUCCACCUGAUUCAUCACACUGCUGCUCACUAGACAGGUAGUCACCUCUUCUACUAGUGUGGGUUCCUGAGAAUGGGGACUUCAUGGUCCUUACUUCAUAUGCCAGGGCCCCAUACAAUGGCUGUAGCACUCAGUACAUGACUGUCAAAUAAUUACAGGGCAAAGCCUUUAUAAAAACAAAGCAGUUCUUUAUGUAAUAGAAUAGCAUCCAAACUGAAGCAUCCAAAUUUUUCAGCAGAAAGUGAAAAAGCAAGAUGCCAUAAAGUGUGGAUAACAUGCUGCCAGUGUGUGUGUGUGUGUGUGUGUGUGUGUGUGUGUGUGUGUGUGUGUUUGGUGGCAGAGAGUAGCUUUGGAAGAAUACAAAGGAAACUAAGUAACAGUGGUUGCCACCUGGGGACAGGCAUAGAAAGGACACUAUUUCACUCUCUGCCUCUUGAUUUUUGUGCUGUGUGCAUGGGUUACCUGUCAUGAAAAUUAAUUAAUAAAUAUUCCUCCAAAAUACUUUUAUAAGCAGUGAAUAUAAGAAAGACAAGAUUUAAAAAAAGACAAGAUUCAUGGCUUCCAAAUAUCCCACAUGUAGAAAGGCAUAAUUAUUUUUUCUCGACUGAUUAAAAAAAAAAAAAAAGCCUGUAUCAUCUGUGACACUUAAAGAUAAACCUAGACUUUUUCUGAUUUACAGCAAAAAGGAGAAGUUGCCUCUCCGUCUAACUAGGACAGCCUGGGUGUAAGGGGGAGACUGGGGUGAACGGAAUUGCAGUUGCCCAGAAAUAAGCAAACCUCCAACCUUUAUGGAAAACCACAGGUCCUUAGGAAAGCCUGACUAAUGAACACUCAGCAAUUGUCAAAGAAGGCAAUGGUAACAAAGGAGAAUCUAAGCUAAUUUUGUAAGCAUUUGGAGAAUAGGGUUCUUCUUCCUGCAUUCCUCUGAUGGGGCUCUCCAAAUUCUUCACUUCAUUAAAAUAUUCCUUUAUAUAAGGCUAAUUAUGAGAAUUAAAAGAGCUGCUUAUUACAGACCUGGGUUUCUAUGACAACAGUAAAAUAAAUGCCCAAGUGUCUGAAGCAUUGAGAAAAAUAAUAUACACUAAUAAUAGGUAACCCUGUGAAUCCUUUUAAUAAAACAACUAAUUGAGAGCCAGCUACUCUACAUGUUAUAACAAGAAUGACUGUGGAGAUCUGCAUACUUCUUAAAACCUAGCAAAACAUCCUCUGUUAAAGUCACUGAAAGGAUUCUGAGUCAAAAUACAUCCUACUUUAGGAGUAUCAUUGAGGUGUUCCAAGCAUACCUGUUGUGGAAGAAAAGAUAGUUUUCCCUUUUACAUUACAUUACAAACCUGUCUCUUGCAUUUCCUCCCUCCCUCCCUCUUGCUUUCUGUUUUGUUGAAGUGCCUGCUGAAAUCCUGGCAGGGGUGACCCUGGCCCCAGGUCAGGGCCUGCCCCAGAGCUGUGUGCAAAAGCAGCAGGGAACUUGCUCCCUCGUGCUGUAUCUGGUUCCUCUCCUCAGCAUGGAGGAUGGACUCCACAUGGGGAGCCCUGAGAUGGGCCUUUUCGGAUUAAUGUUCUCAAACGCGCAUUCUUUUCUGAAACAAGUUAUCUUCCAGACUUAUUGCAAAGCAAAUGGCAUGAUCCUCUAUAUUCAUUUGCUAUGGCUUCCAUAACAAAGUACCCCAGACCAGGUGGCUUACACAACGGAUGUUUAUUUGCUCACAGCUCUGCAGCCAGCAGUCCAAGAUCAGGGUGUCAGUGGGCUUGGCUUCUUCCGAAGCCCCUCUCUUUGGUGUGUGGGUGGCCAUCUUCUCCUACCUGUGUUUCCCCAUCAUCUUCCCUUUGUGUGUGCCAGUGUCCUAACCUCCUUCCCUUAUAAGGACACCAGUCAUAUUAGAUUAGGGCCCACCCUGAAAACCUCAUUUUAACUUAAUUACCCCUUUAAAGACCCUGUCUCCAAAUACAGUUACAUCCUGAGGUUCUGGGGGUUAGCAUUUCAACAUACGAAUUUGGGGGAGCACAGCAGGAUCAGUUCAUACCAACUAGCAUGCUCCUUUCCAAGGUCAUUUUGCUGUCCUUUCCAGUAAGGUGAGCACCACCCAAUAUAAUUGUUGUCUUUGUAAGAGGAGGGGAUUAGGACACAGAUACACAUAGAAGGACAAAUGCCAUGUGAACAUGAAGACAGCCAUCUACAAGCCAAGGAGAGGGGCCUCAGAAGAAACCAACCCUGCUGAUACCUUGAUCUUGGACUUCUGGCCUCCAGAACUGUGAGAAAAUAAAUUUCUGUUUAAGCCCCCUGAUCUGUGGUAUUUUGUUACAGUAGGCCCAGCAGACUAGUGCACUUAGACCAGAAGAAUUGUUGCGGCUAUAGCUUAUCCGACAAUCUGCCACACCCUCCAAGACCUUAUGUUCCUUGUGGUCUGGAAUUCUGUUGUUCUUGUGCAUCAUUGGCAUUAAAUAAAUAUUACGUGUUAUUAAGCCUGUUUUUCUUUUUUUUUUUUUUAAUUUUUUUUUUCAACGUUUUUUAUUUAUUUUGGGACAGAGAGAGACAGAGCAUGAACGGGGGAGGGGCAGAGAGAGAGGGAGACACAGAAUCGGAAACAGGCUCCAGGCUCCAAGCCGUCAGCCCAGAGCCUGACGCGGGGCUCGAACUCACAGAACGUGAGAUCGUGACCUGGCUGAAGUCGGACGCUUAACCGACUGCGCCACCCAGGCGCCCCUUAAGCCUGUUUUUCAAGGCAAAAGAAGAAAGAGAAGCCAGAGAAAAUGGUAAAGGAUCAGAGAACUAUGAGGGAACUAGAAGAAUGUGUCACAGAAGCCAAAGAAAAAGAGAAUCUUGGCAAGAGAUCUUUGGAAAUCUCAAGAAGGAUGAGGGCUGGGAAAUGGCCAUCGGAUUUGAAAAUUGGUAAUUGACACACCAAAUAGUUUGCAGCGUGAGAGGGGCUAAGAUGGGUGGCAGGGAAGAAAUUCACCAAGGAGAAUUUUACAUUUUUACCAUAUAUUUCUACUGCUUGAUAUGUUUUACAUUAAGGGUAUAUCUACAUGUAAAUUUUUUCUUAACAUAUAAUCAUUUUAAUUUUUUUUAAAUUUUUUUUCAAGAGAGAGUGCACAUGUAGGCACAUGAGCUAGGGAGGGGUAGAAGGAGAGAGAGAAAGACAGAGAGAAUCUUAAGCUGACUCCACACCAAGUGUAGAGCCUGAAUAUUUAACUGAGCAACCCAGGCGCCCCUCUCCCAUAUAAUUUUUAAAGAAAGAAAAUGAAGUCCUCUCUGGGCCCUCUACCCCUACCUUUUGGAAGUACAGACUUCCAGGAGUUUAGUGCACAUUCUUAUACAUUGCUGGGGAGUGCAAAAUGGAAGAACCCCAUUGGAGGGCAAUUUGGCAAUAAAAAAAAAAAUCAAAAUUAUAAAUGCAGUUAACUACACUUUAAUAAAGUUGUUUAAAAAACAUUACAAAUGCAUAAAUCCUUUACACACACACAUACAAAAUGGCACUAUGUACAAGGAUAUUCACUACAGCUUUAUGAUAGGAAGUCGGAAAUAAUCCAAGUGUCUUCCAAUAAGGGACAGUUAAAUAAACUGUGCUACAGACACACAAUGGAAUCUUAUCCUGCUGUUUAAAAAAAAAAAAAAAUGAGGAAGCUCUUCUUGUACUGAUAUGGAAAGAUUUCCAAGAUAGAUUAAAUGAAAAAAAUAAGAUACAGAACAGUUGUAUGCUCCUUUUAUGCAAGUAAGUAGGCAAAAGAAGAAUACAUUUAUAAGUAUACAAAUAAUAUAUGUAUUUUUAAAUUUGCUUAUAUUUGCAUAAAUAAACUCCAAAGGGAUAAGAAGCAAAUAGAAUUGGUUACCUGGAGAGAAGGGUGUAGAUAGGAACAGAGGAUCAUCCUAGAUUAUUUUCCCAUUUAUAUACAAUGUUAUUAGAUCCUUAUAACAAAUCUAAGGCAAGUAUUAUUAUCCCCAUUUUACAGAUGAAGAUUAGAAAAACUAAGUCACUUGUCCUAUUUAUCAGUUUAGGCAGCUGGUAAACAAGGAGCCUGAUUCCAGUCUAGCUCUGCCUGGCUCCAAAGUCCAUGCUGUAACAUCGUUCAAACUGUUCCCCAAAUAAACACAGGCCCCUGGUCUUCAGAUUUAUGAUCUAAAAUAAAUGACAUCAAAGGCAGAAUAAUCAAAAGUAAUAGCCAAACAUAUUUUAACAUGUUUAUGCAAAUACAAGGGGCUAGAGAUUGGGAGAUGUUUUUUUAUUAGAGGGGCUGGUUUUACUGGUGGUUUGUGUUUGUUUAUUUGUUCCUUUGUUGGCUUCCUGGCUUUUUAGAUGUCUGGUUUGGAAGCAAUAAGUGGAGGAGGGGAUGGAAAGAUGAUCUACUUUAUGUGGUAUAUACGGUUCCCUUAGGCAAAUAAUUUUUUUGAAGCUUUUGAAGUUUUGCAUUUGUGCUGUUUAGCUCCUGUACAUGUGGUCCAAGAAAGCCUGGAGAUAAAGGAAGGGAAAUAAAAGGUGAAGAAAAGUCCCUUCCUGGUUAAGACUUCUGCUAUCACUGCUACAAGUCUUCUGGGUAGAAAGGACUUACUGUCUGAGCAUAAAUGGAAAAGUCUGGAGUUCAUCCAACGACAAGAAGGUUUUGGCUCCCAGUUAAGUUAUACUGAGUGUUCUAGAUCUUUCCUUAACUAAUUGUGUCCUUUUUUCCAUGUCAUAAGGAAAUCUCUCUUAGGCCAGAAUCCUUUUCUAAAUGGAAAUAUCCAAGCCUUGAAUGAAGUAGCUCUUACUCUGAGUAGUUCACAUCCUGAAGUCCAUUGGUUACAUAUUCAUGGUUGUUAUUUAUGUGUAAGACCUGAGUGGUCCUUCAGAGGGGUUCUAAUUAGAACUCUCUGAAUGGCAAGGAUUUUUUUUCAAGUUUAGUGAAAAAGAGGGGAACCUUCAGAACCCAUAGUAGAAAGUAGAGUGUUCUCCAUGUCUCAGUUCUCUGACAAAGAUGGAAUAAUAGAGUAGUCGCUUCUUCCUGAGGUGACUCCUGUCCCCACUGCAGUGACUUACAAUGCAAGGACCACACAAAAUUGUUGCCCUAGUUCCAAACUACCUUAUGAAUACUUUGCCUUUGUCUUGCAGCAAAGCUGACAUCCGGGCUUGGCCCACGGGCCUUUGGUACUCCCAGCAUGACUAGACCACACCUUGUGGUGCUUUUGUUCUGGAGACCAGCCUCUCCUUGGCUCAUGACAACUAAUAGAAGAUAAAGCAAUCUUAGCUAUGACACUGCUAAAGUCAAUGUAGGGUAAAACUUUCCUUCUUUGUGGUCUUAAGGGGAAAUAAGAACCACUGUGAUCUGCAACACUUGAAAGAGACUUAGCACUCCCUUGGUAAUGGAUUAAGUAUGACACCCAGAUCCCCUCCCCCCCCCCCCCCCCCCCCCGCCCCUUCCACUGUCAGCAUCAAAGCAAAAAUCUGAAUGUGUUGGCUGGUGAAAUGGUUUAUUGGCUGGGCAGUGUCUCACUGUUUUCAUUCAGGGACCCUCAGUUCAUUAAUUUCACUACUUACUCAUUCAUUGCUCAUUUUCUCAUUCAUUCGUAUGUAUUGAGCCAGACGUUGUAUUAAGCACUGCGCUUGCAACAGAACAAGACAGAGAAGCAAUCCCUGACCUCAAGGAGCUUAUGGUCCAGCUGUAGUUCUCUCCCUCACCACUCCCAAACUUCAAACUGCUCCCUCUCAUCUGAUCUUCAGGCUUCAGAGCCAGAGCUCUGUCUCUCAAUCGGCAUGAGUGCCAGUUGUCACUGGAGAGCCCUUAGCCUAUCAGCUUCCAGCUGAAGGAAGUAGUGAAGUCUAAAAAUAAUCAGCAUUAUAUAGUUUGAAAUACCUUUCUUAUUUGGAAAACAACUCAUUUGAGCCUCACCACAUAUUUGAGCUGGGUGGAAAUUUCUUUCUUUCUUCCUUCCUUCCUUCCUUCCUUCCUUCCUUCCUUCCUUUAAAUAACAGCCUUAUUGAGACAUAAUUCACAUACCAUACAACUUAUCAUUUAAAGUAUGCAAUUCAGUGGCUUUUAUUUUUGUAAUGUUUAUUUAUUUUUGAGAGAGAGAGAGAGAGAACAAGCCGGGGAGGGGCAGAGAGACAGGGAGAAGCAGGCUCUGUGCUGAAAGCAGAAACCCCUAUGCAGGGCUCAAAUCUGAAUUGUGAGAUUAUGACCUGAGCCCAAGUUGGACACUUUAACCAACUGAGCCACCCAGGCGCCUCAUCAUUAGCCAUUUUAAAGUGUACAUUUAGUACACUUUAAAGUCAGUAACAUUUAGGGGUGCCUGGGUGGCUCAGUCAGUUAAGCCUCCGACUUCAGCUCAGGUCAUGAUCUCACAGUCUGUGAGUUCGAGCCCCGUGUCGGGCUCUGUGCUGACAGCUCAGAGCCUGGAGCCUGUUCCAGAUUCUGUGUCUCCCUCUUUCUCUGCCCCUUCCCUGCUCAUGCUCUGUCUCUCUGUCUCAAAAAUAAAUAAAAACAUUUAAAAAAAUAAUAAAGUCAGUAACAUUUAGGGUUUUCACAGUAUUGUAUAAACAACACCUCUCUGUAGUUUCAAAACUUUUUCAUUAUUCCAGAACUCCUGUACCCAUUAAAUAAUCACACCCCAUUUCCUCCUAUCCUUAACCCCUUGCAACCUCUAAUCUGCUUCCUAUCUGUAUGGAUUUGUCUAUUCUACAUAUUCUUAAAAAGGAAUCAUAAAAUAUGACCUUUUGUGUCUUGCUUCUCUCACCUAGCAUCAUGUUUUCAUGGCCCAUGCAUGUUGUAGCAUGUGUCAGUACUUUAUUCCCUUUUAUGGCUGAAUGAUAUUCCAUUAUGUUGAUAUUUCAUAUUUAUUUAUCCAUUAAUUAAUACUUCAUUUUAUACUUUGGAGUAUUUCAUUUUAUAUGUGAAGAAACUAAUGCAGAUAAUUGGCUGGAUCGUUCAAAGCCAGGUUUCAUGGCUCCCAAUCCAGUGCUCAUUCCAGAAAAUCCACUAGGUCCCGUAACUUAAAAGUACAUGUUCAUUUCUAUCUAAAACAUAUUUAUCAAUCAGAUUGUGCAAUAGGGAAUGAAGCUAAGAAAUGCAACAUAGAUUCUAGGACCAUCACCUCAGCAGCCUCCUCACUAUUUGCUAUUGCCUUUUACAGGUUUUUCCCAAUUUCCAGGGAAAAAAGAAAAGUCAAUAAAAAAAUGGUCCUUUGCCGAACAUAGUUCUCACUCUUGCCCCUGUCCCUUUCUCUGAUUCUAUGUCUCUCUUUUAUGUUGUUGUCUGUGAACAAGCCAUAGGUCAUUAGAAUGGGCCCGUGAGAGCUAAGACUGAGAAAAAAAGUUCCUGAUUAAAAAGAAGUACAUCAGAGGUCAACAGCCAUCAUCAUUCAACUUCAGUUGCCAAGGCACAGGCUCCAGAAUCCACAGGCCACAUACGCAAAUGUUAAGAAAUUCAUCCCAAUUACUCUUGUCUACCCAAUAGUUUUAUACACUUAGAUGAGGCACUUGGUGGGGAGAUAUUGUAGUGGAGGCUACUACAUUAUAAUAAUUAUUUCUGUAUAUGGAGAUUUUAUUCAGUUUUAAAAGAAAACAACUUGAGACCCUAUAACAAAGCAAAUCUGUCCAGCUUUAGAUCAAAUUCCAAGAGUAGCCAACUUCUGUUUUUCAGUAGCUUGGCCAGAGCAUCUGGCCUUAAUGAGCUCCACUGACAUUUCUUCAUCCCAUAUAGUGUAAAACAAAACCAAUCCAGACUCCUUGAUAAGCUUUACAUGAGUUUUACAAAUGGUUUCUCUAAUGGUAAGCCAAAAUCAUUUUUUGUAUUCUCUCCAGAUAACUUUACUGUAACAUAUAGUAAUGUGAGUCUUCUGUAAACUGUCAACCAAUGCUCUAUGAUAUAAAAAUCAAUAUACUGUAUAUGCAAGUGAAACAGUGCAUAGAUUCUAACCUGGACCUACUAGGAAAACAGUCUCAAUACAUUAAUCACAACACUGUGAUCUGUUCAGGCUGCUAUAAAGAACAUCAUAGACUGGGUGGUUUAUAAACAACAGAAAUUUCUCACUGUUCUGGAGUCAGAGAAGUCCAAGAUCAAGGUGCUGACAGAUUCAGCAUCUGGUGAGGACUCACUCCCUGGUUCGUAGACGGCCAUCUUCUCACUGUGUCCUCAGACAGCAGAUGAUAGGGCAAGAGAGCUCUCUGGGGUCUCUUUUGUAAAGGCACUGAUCCCAUUCAUGAGGGUUUCAUCUUCAUGACCUAAUCACAUUCCAAAGGCACCAUCUCCAAAAGCCAUCAUAUUAGGGAUUAGGAUUUCAACAUAUGAAUUUGGGGGGGACACAAAUAUCCGGUCUAUAGCAUAUAGUAAGGCUAAUAACGUUGAAUAAAUUAACUCAGAAACAUCACAAUUAAAUACCAGCGUAGUAAGCCAGGCUAAGAGAAGGAGGCUGAUAUAAACAAGAAAAUGUCAGAAUUUACUGUGCACAAUACCAAAUUGAUGUUUCAAGCCCAGUGAGUUUUUUGCAGUUCAUCUCUCAUUUCCCCUCCGUCUCCAGCUUUCCUCUCUUGGGGUUUCCUAUUCCAGGACUCAGUUAGCUAGCCAGAUUAAAUCUGGGUACAUCUGCCAGCCGGGAACUAUUCCAGUCAAUAGUGACUGCUGCUCCUCUUAUGAAUAUUUGUGUGCUAAGAACUAAUUCUAAACAUAUUCUAAUUCCAGUGCACCUCCUAUUCUAAUGGUUUGCUCUGUCCUGGCGUGGCUGGAGACAUAACGAGACCCACAAAUCAGCUCUUGGACAGCAGACCUCCUUCAGGGCAGGAAGCUCCAAGGGAGAGGAGUGAGUGUAUGUCUAAAAUGAAAAACCUGGUCUUUCCCUCCUGUUGUGGGAGGGGGGAAACCCUCAGUUCAGUCUGUCUCCUGAGUGUUUCUUUUACUACUCACACAAAACACUUCACUUCUGACACUUCUGGUCACCAAAUGUGUGGGGGGAGGGGUUCCCCCACAACAACAAGCAAGUCUCCAGCACCAGCUGGAUGUCUUACAAUUUGACUCAAUCCUGACACUAUCUAGCCAGAGACACACCCUCAUUUCAGAUGCCAGUUAAGCCCAGGUUAUUACCUGUGCUUCUGAACUACUAUUGAUAGGAGGUUCCAGUGACCCCCUCCUUGGGGUUGGUUAAUUUGCUAGAGCAGCUCACAGAACUCAGGGAAACCCUUACAUUUACCAGUUUAUUGAGGGAUAUAAUAAAGUAUACAGAUGAACAGCCAGAUAAAGAGAUACAUAAGGCAAGAUCUGGGAGGAUCCUGUGCACAGGAACUUUUGUCUCCAUGGAGUUGUGGUGCAAAAUCAUCCUCCCGGGAUGGAUGUGUUCACCAGCCUGGAACCUCUCUGAACCCCACCCCCACCCCCAGUACUAUUGGGAUUUUUUUGGAGGCUUCAUCGCCGUAGGCAUGAUGAGUCAUUAACUCCGUUUUCAGCCCUUCUCCCUUUUCAAAAGAAUGGGGGAGGGGAGCAGAGCUGAAAAUUCCAAACUUCUAAUCAUGGCUCGGUGUUUCUGGUGACCAGCCCUCAACCUGGAGGCACCCAGGGUUGCCUUCUUAGAAUAAAAGACACUCCUAUCACCCAGGAAAUUGUAAGGAUUUCAGGAGCCCUGUGUCAGGAACCAAGAGCAGAGAUCAGUGUAUAGUUUUUAUUAUCUCACAAUGUCCUACUAUAAUUUCUGAAAGAGACUAGGAGCAAAACAUCAAGGCAUAUUAAUACAGUACUAGGAAGAAUGCAUCUCUGAUUUGCUUGUUCAUCUGUAAGGGCGAACAAACCGAGAAUAACCAGUACAAGUUGAAGAAUACUGCAUAUAGUAUGAUUACAUUGGCUUAAAAUUUCAAAACUAUAUGUCCCCAGGGAUAUAUCCAAAUUUAGAAAUACAGUAAAGAAAUACAUCAGAAUGUAAACACCAUCCUGGAUAGUUGUUAACCCUAGGUGACAAAGAAGCAGUGCUUUCAGGGAAAGGCAAAGGAACUCAAUGGUAUCAGGAGUUUAAUUUCUGAAGCUGAGUGAUGGGUACAGGAGUGUUAGGAGCACCAUCUGUUCACAAUGGAGUUCCUUUUUUUUUUUUUAGUUUGUCAGUUUUAACGAUUAACAAAGUAAAUGUUGAGAGACACCACCACAUAAAUGAGAACUCUUUCUAGUCCUCAAUUUGUCUGUUUCAUGUGCCCAGUUAGUCUUUUUUUUUUUUUUUUUUUUUUUUUGAGAGAGUGUGUGCAUGCAUGCAAGCAGAAGGGCAAAGAGAGAGGCCAAGACAAAAUCCCAAGCAGACUUCUUUCUGUCAGCAUAGAGCUUGGCGCGGGGCUUGAUCCCAUGAACCUGAGCCAGAUGUUUAACCAACUAAGCCACCAGGCGCCCCAGCAUCUUUUCUUAAUUGUGGUAAAAUAUACAUAAGAUUUACCAUUUUAACCACACAGGUGUUCUUUUAAUGAUACUGGCUCACAUGUGACAGGUGAAUAUCAACAUGACACAGAAAUGCAGUUGGUUCAUACACAACUUUUCCAGUAUGUUAGUAUUUUGAAAUGAUCAGGGCAAACCUUCUCACAAAGAGGAAGUGUUCAUCAUAUUUGAGGACCCCAAGGAAAGAGCUGAAAAUCCCACAUCAGUGCCUUCCUUGAGUGGAUAUAGGGGCUGGUUUUGUGGCUUCAAGAACCUCUGCAUUUUCCACUACCUGAAGCCGUCUGGGGAAGUUGGCAGUGCAGAUAGCAAAUUAUGAAGACCCUUCUUAUGUUUAAAUAAAGUGAUUCAAGAAAGUUAGACUGUAUUUUUUAUAAGUUUUUAAAUUUAUUUUGAGAGAGAGAGAGCAAGCAGAGGAGGAACAGAGAGAGGGAGCGAGAGAAUCCCCAGCAGGUUCUGUGCAGUCAGUGCAGAACCCAACACGGGCCUUGAACCCACAGACCCCAAGAUCUUGACCUGAGCUGAAAUCAAGAGUUGGACGCCUAACCAAUUGAACCCCAAGAAAACUAGAUUGUAUUUUUAAUUAUGGUGAUGAGCAUCUCUUUUGGAAGCAAAUGCCUUUAAGGAGGAAACAGGGGUGCCAGGAUACAGGCUGCAAAGAAAGGCCAAGUGUUUGGUUGCAAAUGCGAAUGGAGAGUGAAGUGUGCCAGGAUAUUUAUUAGGAUGGUUAUUUUUAUUAGGGCUCUGCUUACAAACUUCGUAAGAUUUUGAGUGCCUGUUCUUAACUCUGUUCUUCCCAUAAGCCCUUUUAUUUGUCAUGCAUGAUUUGGCUUGGUACUAGGUUUUUCAAAACUACAGAAGAAUUGUUCUUGCUGUCUACAUAUACUUGUAUAUUCUAAACAAAUUUUAAAAGUAAGAAAAGGCUGUAAUAAGGAGAAAUAAUCUAAGUAGGAGAGUAACUUCUUUUCCGUCUUCUGGGCUGAUGUUAACCCAGGGGCGAGGCAAAUCAAAAUGGCUUAAACAAUAAGGAAAAUGUAUUAUUUCAUACAACAUAGAGUUCCAAACAUAGGGUGGCACAUGUAGAGUAACAUAAUGAUGUCUUUGAGGUCUGAGUCACUUUCCAUCUUCCUCCUCUGCCACCCUUACCAUCUUGGCGUUCAUCCUGAACUUGUGCCUUCUGGACACAAGAUGGCUGCCAUAGCUUUAAAACUCAGUGUCAUGUAACUGUGUUCAAAGGCAAAAAGAAGUUUUUGCUUUAGAGUCUUUUUUUUAUUAGGGAGAAAACUCUUUCCAGAAGUCCACCUGCAGAUUUCCUUUCAGGUUUCUUUUGCCAGAGUUGGAUCACGUGGCCAUCCCCUAGCUGCAAGAGAGGCUGUUUAAUUUUUAGCCUUUAGAGAGGGAGGCAGCUCUACCAGCAAGGAAAACACGAUGGGAAUGGCUCUUGGGUUGGCAACCAGCACUGUCAGCCAAGGUAGUAGGUGACCAGUCAGGUCUAUCAGCAGACAUAAUCAAUGCUUUACUCCAUGAUGUCACCUUUAAGAUUAUUCCAGUUCUUAAAUGGUCUUUUCAUCACAAAGUCUGUAAUGUACCACACCCUCAAAUUCACCCUAUGCCUUUCUGCCUCCCAUCUUUUGCACAUUCAGUUCCCUCAGCCUGGGCUUCUGUCUCCUUCCCCAUCUGCUUUUAGACAUAGAGUCCACUCUUGAAGAUGCCACUCAAACACCACUGUCUCAGUAAAACCUUCCAAAUAAUUGGUCAUUCUUUGCAACUCUUUCCUCUGGUCUCCCAUAGCAUGGGGAAAUUCCCCGACACAAGGUCUAGCAAAGGGUCUACAAAGGCUCAACAAUUCUGGCGAAUUGAAUUGAACUGUUUUGCCCUCUGAGCUGAAGAAGGAAAUUUAAUAGAAAACAAGUUUCUCUUCAUAUUAUAGUAUUUGAGGGGAUUUGAGUGAAGUGAUAUUGCACAAAGGAGCCACCCUAAAAGUUUAACAUUGUGUUUUUCUGUUUUACACUGUGCUUUAACUAUAAAAAUAUUUCUUGCCCAAAUUAUUUAGGAAGUUGACCUAAAAGCAGUUGUUUUCCUCUCCCAAAUUAUUGGAGUGACUGUUUUCACCCUUUCAAAUUCUUUAACUUAUAAGCACUGGUCUUUAUCGAUUUUUAACCUGCUUCUCAAAAUUAGUAACAUGUUGGGGCGCCUGGGUGGCGCAGUCGGUUAAACGUCCGACUUCAGCCAGGUCACGAUCUCGCGGUCCGUGAGUUCGAGCCCCGCGUCGGGCUCUGGGCUGAUGGCUCAGAGCCUGGAGCCUGUUUCCGGUUCUGUGUCUCCCUCUCUCUCUGCCCCUCCCCCAUUCAUGCUCUGUCUCUCUCUGUCCCAAAAAUAAAUAAACGUUGAAAAAAAAAAAUUAAAAAAAAAAAAAAUUAGUAACAUGUUAAUAGUUGUUCAAGUUGGAUGGUAGGUGCACGGGAAUUCAUUACACUACUCUACAUUUGUGUAUGUUUAGAAUUUCCAAAAGUAAAAUUAAAAACUAAUUGGUUGGGGCGCCUGGGUGGCGCAGUCGGUUAAGCGUCCGACUUCAGCCAGGUCACGAUCUCGCGGUCCGUGAGUUCGAGCCCCGCGUCAGGCUCUGGGCUGAUGGCUCGGAGCCUGGAGCCUGUUUCCGAUUCUGUGUCUCCCUCUCUCUGCCCCUCCCCCGUUCAUGCUCUGUCUCUCUCUGUCCCAAAAAUAAAUAAACGUUGAAAAAAAAAAAAAAAAAACUAAUUGGUUCCAUGUUUCAGAACCUUUGAAGCUUAUGGUUAUGUAUUUAAUAGAAAGUAUAGUAGAUAUUCAAAUAUUACACAUGGGAAAUUAGUUUCCAUUCAAUUCAGACACAAAAUCUGCAGUCUUUUUGGUAGGGUUUUCUUCUUUCCUUCCCCAGAUUCAAUGAGUCAUGAAGCUUUAUUCUUCCAUUUACUUUUGGGAAAAAAGUGCCAAUGCAGAGUAUGAACAUGUGCCAGCUCGUCAAUGAUGUUAAAGUUCUCACUGUUGAGGGGCACUUGGGUGGCUCAGUCAGUUAAGUGUCCGACUUCAGCUCAGGUCAUGAUCGCAUGGUUUGUAAGAUCGAGCCCCAUGUCAGGCUCUGUGCUGACAGCGAGGAGUCUGCUUGGGAUUCUUUCUCCCUCUCUCCCUCUCUCUCUCUGCCCCUCCGCUGUUCAUCCUCCCUGUCUUGCAUGCUCUCUCUCUCAAAAUAAACAUUUUUAAAAUGUUCUUUAUUGUUGAUAUGUACUUUUUUCUUUUGAUUAGAUACUUCUGUGGCCAUGUUGGGUCUUUGUCAGGUGGGUUCCAAGUGCGAUGGUUUCACAUUUGCUUAAGUAAGCUAGAGAGCUUUCAUAUAAGGGAAGGGAAGAGGAGAAGGGAAAAAGAAAGAAAGAAAGAAAGAAAGAAAGAAAGAAAGAAAGAAAGAAAGAAAGAAAGAAAGAAAGAAAGAAAGAAAGAAAGAAAGAGGAGAGAAAGAAGGAAAGAAAAGAAAAGGAAAAGGAGAGAAAAAAGAAAAGAAAAAAAGAAAAGAGCUUUGACUCAGCUGACACCAAAUUUUGGCAACAAUAGUUAACCAAAGGCAAAAUUAACCAAAAUUCUUUUAGGUGAGAUAACAACUUUACACUUUAUGUGAUCUCAGUAAAUGUGUCUUUCAGUUCAUAUAAAAGGAACUACAGAGGUUGCAUUUUAUCACAUUUUUUUGUAGAAGAUAUACACAGCAGAGCUUCCUCCCUUGUUCCCUUUUUACAAAGUUCUGUCUGUCCUCCACGGCUUAGUUUAAAUUCUGCCUCCUCUGUGAAACCCAAGAUUGAGGUCUCUAUUGUAAUAAAAACAAUUAUUACAAUCUUAGCCAACUUGUAUUGAACUCUUACUAUACCAGAGGCCACAAGUUGAAGAGCAAUUAUCUACCUACUCACCAAACUCAUUUGGGAAGAAUACCAAGAAUAGAGUCCCAAGUCCUUCCUCUAGAGAGCCUAAUUUGGUAGCUCUGAGGUGAGCCAUGGAAUUUCCACUUUAAUAAGAACCUUCUGGUGAUUCUUCAGCCCAGCUAAGUUCAGGGAACCAGGUGGAAUGAAUAAACCCUGGGCCCUGGACACCCUUUGGAUGCAGACUGCCUGGCCUGCAGACUAUGAAGAUUCAUUAGCUUCCUGUAAAAUCCGCUGCUAAGUAGCUUUUAUUGUGCUCAGGCUUCAUGUAUAUUCUUCUACUUAGUUCUUGCAACAACCCCAUGAGAAAAUUGUUAUUAUCUCCACUUUAUAGUAGGAGAAUCAAAACAGAGGCUGAGGGAGAUGGUGACCUGCCCAAGAUUAUAUUGAAAGCAGUGCCAGGAAAUCCAGGUGUGCUAUGUCCCGGAGCCGACUAGUGUUGUCAGAACCACAAGACUGAAUGUUCACUCUCUUUCUUUAUGAAUCUUCUCUUUAUGUGAAUGAGCCUGUUAAAGUUAGAGAUAUAAUGAGUCUUAAGUUGGUUGGCUUCUCUGUAUUACUGUGGGUCACCAGUGAGUUGGGACUCUUCUCAGCUUUGCAGCCAGAAGCUCAAGGUUUCCAGUUUAUGCAAACUCUAGCAACUACUUGCUUAACCAAAUUCAUAGGAGGCUGACCAAGCACAUGUAAUGCUAGUAUGUUCAUGGACAACGGGAGGGCACCUACCUGAAUAUCAACCCAGUCAAGGGACUAAAUCACAGGGUAAAAAGAAGAUAGUUGGGUAAAUCUGGAAUCAGAAAUAGGAGUGGGAUGCCAUGCGGCAAUAUUUUCAUCAUGCUAGGUUAAGCAAACAAAUGACUGUUUCUGCAUGGAAGGGAUAUAUCUGUCCAAGCAAUAGGGGUGGAGGUCAAGAAACAGAGCUCUUAUCAACUCUCUUAAGAAAGCACUGAAUAAAAGGUAACAAUUCUUAUUUUCUAGUCUUCCUUUUAAAACAAAUCUCCAUAGGGGUGCCUGGGUGGCUCAGUCGGUUAAGCAUCCGACUUCAGCUCAGGUCAUGAUCUCGUGGUCCGUGAGUUUGAGCCCUGCGUCGGGCUCUGUGCUGACAGCUCAGAGCCUGGAGCCUGUUUCACAUUCUGUGUCUCCCUCUCUCUCUGACCCUCCCCCAUUCAUGCUCUGUCUCUCCCUGUCUCAAAAAUAAAUAAAUGUUAAAAAAAAUUUUUUUUAAACAAAUCUCCAUAAGCACAGUUUGUAAAACUAUCUUGAUUAUAAGCAUCUAAGAGCCCAACUCACCUGGCUUACUGAAAAUCUAAGUUGCAGAAGACCUGGCCUCACCAUGGCCAGAUUGGGCCAGAUGGUUUGCUGCUUUCCAUGUACUGUGUAAUUCUCAGGCUCCACGUGGAAGCAAGAUGGCUACAGCUACAGUUGCUGCAGCCACAAGGUCCAAGUACAACAUGAAAGAAAAGGAGCCUCUUUACAGUGGCUUCAAUUUAACUCGCUUAAAUUACUUGCUCACCUUUGAACCAAUCAUGAGGCAAGAGGAAUGUGAAAUGCUGAUUGGCGUGGGCUUAGAUCAUGUGCUAUUCCUCUUGAGGCAAAGGUGGAGCCCCAGACACUUCAUAGGCUAUGGAAGGAUGGAUGCCCAAACCAAUAAAAGGCACUCUUGCUGAAAAAAAUGGGAAUAGAGGUAAACAAAGAUCAACUAAACUAUGGCUUCAUGCCCAAUACAGUUAAGGUAUCAGGUGACAAUGUUAGUUUUCUUCUGACAAUAACCACAGGCACACCUUCCUCAGGUACCCCAGUCAGCUUCUUUGAGCUUGGGUAUCUCUCACAAACCAUUUCUUAACAUGGGCAAUUUCUGCAGUGGACUAAACUCCUUCAACAUGAGUAGUUCGACUUCCCCAGCAUUAAAAAAAAUAUAUAUAUAUAUAUAUAUAUAUAUAUAUAUUUUUUUUUUUUUUUUUUUUUUUUUUUUUUUGNNNNNNNNNNNNNNNNNNNNNNNNNNNNNNNNNNNNNNNNNNNNNNNNNNNNNNNNNNNNNNNNNNNNNNNNNNNNNNNNNNNNNNNNNNNNNNNNNNNNNNNNNNNNNNNNNNNNNNNNNNNNNNNNNNNNNNNNNNNNNNNNNNNNNNNNNNNNNNNNNNNNNNNNNNNNNNNNNNNNNNNNNNNNNNNNNNNNNNNNNNNNNNNNNNNNNNNNNNNNNNNNNNNNNNNNNNNNNNNNNNNNNNNNNNNNNNNNNNNNNNNNNNNNNNNNNNNNNNNNNNNNNNNNNNNNNNNNNNNNNNNNNNNNNNNNNNNNNNNNNNNNNNNNNNNNNNNNNNNNNNNNNNNNNNNCCCACCCCCAUGCUUGCCCGAGCUCUCUCCCUCUCUCUUUCUCAAAAUACAUAAAUAAAUAUUUUAAAAAUAUAUUUCAAAAGAUUAUUACAAAAGUAAUAUGUUUGUGGGGGGAAAAUUCAAAUAACACAGAAGUGUGUAAAGUUAAAAAGUAAAAUCAUCAGGUUUUAAGAAUGUGACCUAAACUCAUGCUGAAAUCUCUACCUCCUUAUAAGACCCUGAGAAGAAAUUUUAAAGACACGAAAAGGAAGGACGGGACGGAGGGAGAAAAGUAAAAACAAUAUAGCCACUCCUGGAAGUAAGAAAGGCCCCUCUCCAUAAUGGCUGAGCAGCAUUCCUUAAGGAAGGGGAGAUGGGAAACCAUGUGAGGAGCUGAGGCCCCCAAUCCCGGAACCUCCACAUGGGCAUUAACAUAGCCAGGCCACAGCUGACUCAGGGUGGAGGCAGAGAUACAGUCCAGGUAGCAGGUGAGCUCACCCAGCCUCUGAAAAAGGCCAGCACCAUCCAAAAGAGACAGAAACCUCCACAAAAGGAGGACCUUGCACUUGAGAAAACACAGAUACCAGAACAAUGAGGAUGUGAAAAUUAGGGAUUUCAGAUCCUCAGAGACACAGUUCUCAGUCUCCAUUCUGGAAUAGCCAGGGAGCUUUUGCAGAUCAAGAUACUCACUGCUCCCCAGACCACAUUUAACUGCUCCUUAGACUUCACUAACCCCCAAUUAAGUCAGAAUUUCUUGGGACUCAAGCAUCAGUAUUUUUAAAGUUUCCAGGUGAUUCCAGUGUGCAGGCAAGGUUAAUUUCAGCUAUCCAGUAGGGAAUCACAUUCAUGAAAUGAAAACAGAAGGCUUAGGGCGCUUGGGUGGCUCAGUCGGUUAAGCGUCCAACUUGGGCUCAGGUCAUGAUCUCGUGGUUUGUGAGUUCAAGCCCCUCAUUGGGCUGUCUGUUCUCAGCACAGAGCCCGCUUUAGAUCCUCUUCUGUCUCCCUCUCUCUCAGCCCCUCCCCCACUUGUGUUCUAUCCCUCUCUCUCUCUCUCUCUCAAAACUCAACAUUAAAAAAAGAAAACAGAAGGCUAUGAAACAACAACACAUGAUCCUAAGAAAGAAUCAGCUAAUGAUGCUGAAAAUAAAAUAAAAUUGUAGACAGAAAAAAAUUAAUAACCUGAAUAUCUGACUGGAAAUGACCUGAAGGCAGUCCCUUCAGAUGAGCCAUGUCCCAGCAUUUGUUCUGCCUCUUUCCUCCCCCAAGCCCUCCCUCCCUCUCUUUCUCUAUUCCCAAUCUUAGAUCCUGUAAAUACAGUCAAAAGAGCACCAUAUAAAAGUCUAGCAAACACGAGCAACAAAAAAGUUUCUGGGAGACCAGCAGCUGCAGGUCACAGGAGUUCUGUGAAAGUGUGCUCUUUCUAACUGCCUUGGCUCCCCUUUGCCUGCGCCUUGGUGGGAUUCAAACUCAGGGCCUGGGAGGCACACCUGGAACUUUCAGUGAGGGUACAAAUGGGGAAGCCUUGAACGAAGGAAUAGUUCAGUAGACAUCUCACUGUGCCUUCAUCUACUCUUUUCUCCUCCCACACCUCCCUCCUAGGAAGAUAAAAUCUGGCAAAAAUGAUCAAUUAGGACAGCUUUAACGGGGAAAAUAGACUCAAGAAAGCCACCUGCAGCAUGUGGAUGAAAGGGGACCCUCCAUCCCACCCAUCCCCCCUCUCUGUCUCUGCUGGCCCCAGCAGCAUCAGGGCGGGCAGAGAAAGGCUUGCUCUAUCCUACGGACAAUUUAGUAUUUGCAUGACACAGGUGGGGCUGGCAAGCACCCCACACAGUAAAUUUGGAAGGCCAGAAAAACAGCAGUGAGGAGCUAGAGUUUUGGAAACAAACCUGGGUUUGACUUCCCGGCUGCCACUUAUUCGUUUGGGACCUUGAAUGCCUUGGGUUUCAAUUUCAGGUCAAUGCUUGAGGCAAAUGUCUUCACUGAGGCAUUCAGAGAUUCAGUACCUGUUCUGGUGAUAAUAUCGCCCACCUCCUAGCAUAGGGCUAGAGAUUAAACUAGAUAAUGUAAAGCCCCUAGCACAGGGGAGGUACUCAACAGAUGGUCAGUCAUUCUGCCCUUCUGAAGGAAUCCCUACAACCAAGUCUCAGUUACUAACCGGAAGCUGUUCUCUCUCUAGGACCUGAGAGCUGAAACACACAGGUGAGAUCUGUAAUAUUCUCCAAACUAUUUAUAAGCAUGUGCUCUUGCUAUGCACAUAUGUUUCACAUAGUUAUAAUGCCCUAUGGAUAUCUAUUUUUAGGGGUGUAAAAAUAUCUGGAUUUAUACAACUUUCUCCAGAUGUUUUUAUAUACACUGGAUUUCAUUUUAUCCACAAUAAAGGGAGUGAAUUUAGUUUGGGAGGGACCAUUAGCACUUUCAGUCUACAAAGACCCUCUGAAAAAGAUAGUUCCAUCCACCGAUAAACUUGCCUCUGAAGGAUCUUGGGCUGGGAUCUUGCUGAUAAAAUAUUAAUCUGCAUGAGACUUCUAUUUGGAAGCAUAUCAAGACACUCCUUGCAAAGAUUUUUUAAUUAAACUUUUUAUUUUAGGAUAACUGUAGAUUCAUAUGCAAUUAUAAGAAGUAAUACAGAUAGAUCUCCGGUAUCCUUUACCGGUUUCCCCCAAUGGUAUAGCAUCUUUCAAAACUCUAGUACAGGAUCAGAACUGGGAUAUUGACUUUGAAAGAGUCAAGAUACAGAACAUUUCCAUUGCUGCAAGGAUCCCUCUUGCUGCUUUUUUCAGAGCCACACCCACCUCUGGCCCCAGCAGAGGACCCCCAGCAACGUCUAAUGUGUUCUUCUUGUCCAUAAUUUCAUUCUUGUCAUUUCAAGAAUGUAUAAAUGGAAUGAUAUAGUAUGUAACUUUGGGGGUUAGCUUUUUUUCACUCAGCAUAAUUCUCUGGAGAUUCAUCCAGGUCAUUGAUUUUAUUUAUUUUCUUAAUUUUUCUAAGUGCUUAUUUUUGAGAGAGAGAAAGAGAGCAGGAGAGAGUGGAGGGGCAGAGAGAAAAGGAGACAGAGGAUCCGAAGCAGGUUCUGUGCUGACAGCAGAAAGCCCGACGCAGAUCUCGAACUCACAAACCGUGAGAUCGUGACCUGAGCUGAAUGAAGUUGGACGCUUAAUUCACUGAGCCACCCAGGUGCCCCAGGUCAUUGCUUUUAUCAAUAGUUUGUUGCCUUUUGCUACUGAGUAGUUUUCCAUGCACCACAGUUUGUUUAAACAUUCACACAUUGAAAGACGUCUGGGCUAUUACAAAUAAAGCUCCUGUAAACAUUCAUGUGUGGGUUUCUGUGUGACUAUGAGUCUUCAUUUCUCUAAAUGCUUGGGAGUGCAAUUGCUGAGUCAUGUGAUAGUUACAUGUUUAGUUUUAAAAGAAAUGGCCAAACUAGUUUUCAGAGUCGUUGUGCCAUUUUACAUUCCUACCAGCAAUGUAUGAGUGGCCCAGUUUCUCUGCAUCCUCAUCAGAAUUUGUUAUUGUCACUAUUUUUGUUUGUUUGUUUGUUUGUUUAGCCAUUCUGACAGGUGUACAUAAUAUUUCACUGGGUUUUUUUUUUUAAUUUUUUUUAAUGCUUAUUUAUCUUUGAGAAAAAGAGAGAGACAAAGCACAAGCAGGGGAGGGACAGAGAGAGGGAGACACAGAAUCCGAAGCAAGCUCCAGGCUCUGAGCUGUCAGCACAGAGCCCGAUGGGGGGCUCAAACCCACGAACUGCAAGAUCAUGACCUGAGCUGAAGUUGGAUGCUUAACCCACUGAGCCACCCAGGUGCCCCAAUAUUUCACUGUGGCUUUAAUUUGCAUUUCCAUAAUGGCUAAUGAUGUUGAACAUCUUUUCAUGUGUUUCUUUGCCAUCUGUAUUCCUCUUUGGUGAAGUGUUUCUUCAUUUUACCCAUUUUAUAAUACGAUUUACUUUUUAUUGUUGAGUUUUGAGAGUUCUUUUAUAUUCUAGAUACUGGUCCUUUGUGGAAUAUGUGAUUUGCAAAUAUUUGCUCCUGUGUUGUAGCUUCUCUUUUUAUUCUUUUAACAGGGUCUUUCUCAGAGCAAGUUUGUAAUUUUGAUGAAGUUUGAUGAAAAUUUUGAACCAUUUUGAAAAAUGGUUUAACCAUUUUUCCCUUUACAGAUGAUACUUUUGGUGCAAGUCAGAGAAUCCUAGAUUCUGAGAUUUUUCUCCUUAUGUUCUUUUCUAAAAGUGUUGUAGUUUCACAUUUAAGUCCAUGAGUUAAUUUUUGUGUAAGGUGUGAGACAUAGGCCAAGAUUUGGGGGUUUCUUUUUUGGUUUUGGUCUGUGAUUUCUAAUUGUUCUAGCAACAUUUGUUGAAAAGGUUAUCUGGGCCACGAGGCAUGGGAGGAAGGGUGUGCCUUCCUUGCAGCACAGCACAGCCAUCCCUGUGAGAGGAUGCCACCACUUGGGGCCCUGCAGGGGCAUGCUAGCUCAUAGGGCUCCUCCAGGAAAUGUCUGUCUUCCUGCACCCACAUUCCUCACUCACCUCCACCUCUCCAGGGACACUCAGCAUCAUCUGUCACUUCACUGGGCUUAGGCUUUCCUUAAAGAAUGGAAGAGCUACUGGGUUCAGGUGCCCAUGGACUUCCCAGCCCGCAAGAAUCCCUCAAGCCACAGGCGUGAGCGAGCCUGGCUCCCUGCUUGAAAGGGGGAGAGAAGGAUGCCUAGAGAAAGAAGAAACAUAAAUGAAUACUUCAGUAUUUUGUCACAGAACUAUUUUACAUGCUAGUUUUUACUUCUGAUGAUUGCCUUAUUAACAAGUGAUAGCAAGAAAAAAUCAGCAGUUACUUUUAUUUUAUUAAUAUUUUUGUUUAACAAGCAACAUAUAUAGCAGGUAUCAUAUACCAGGUGCUGCUCAGAGCUGUUUAUGAAUACUAAUCCAUUUGGGGCACCUGGGUGGCUCAGUCGGUUGAGCACCCAACUCUUGAUUUCAGCUCAGGUGAUGAUCUCAUAGUUCGUGAGAUCAAGCCCCAUAUCAGACUUGGUGCUGAAAGCCUGGAGCCUGUUUGGGAUUCUCCCUCUUCCUCUCCCUCUUGUGUGAGUGCACACUCUCUUUCUCUCUCUCAAAAUAAAUAAAUAAACAUUAAAAAAAAUUAAUGCUAACCCACUUAGUUCUCAUAGCAACUUUAUAAGGUAGGUCCUAUAAUUGUCCCCAUUUCACAGAUGAGGAAAAAACGAUGACACAGAGAAAUUAAGUAACUUGCUCAAUCAAGGUCACACAGCUAGUAGUGGCAAAGCCAGGAUUUGAACCCAGUUUGUCUUUAAACAGUGCAAUCCUAAUUACAAUGGCAAUUCCUGAGAAUUCCUCUUGAGAAUUGAAUUUUUUAAAUGUACUUAUUUUUGUAAUUAGAAGCUCAUUUUCCUUUAGCUUGACCUUUAUGACCAAUUUUAAAGAUCACGUCUCUGUUCUCUAAAUCUGUCUUGCAUGCUAUUGACUAAAAAUCACUUAAUCAUUUUGAAAAAUAACCUCUUUCAUCUUUUCAGAAAACAGCUUUCCAGGAGAGCUUUCUCCCUGAUGCUAUCAGAGCCACUAUUUUUCUUAUUUAGCAUUUGUCAAAUGGCUGCAAUUUGAUACGUGGGGGAAGCAAGGUUGAGGUGACACUUGCCAGAAAAUAAAUAAUAGCUGGUUGGUUUCACAACUAACAACACCAUUCUUCAAUUUUCAGGUGAGUCAGAAUUUUUAAAAACAUAUGUGAAAUACACAUAAAGGACUAGAGAAAUAGAAGUUGUGGCUGUCUGCGCUCUUCAUCCACGAGAACCCUGAAAACAGAAGCAUUCCCACCAGCCUGACCCUGACAUCACAGCAAGAACCUCCAAAGCCAGUCUUUGCCAAAUCAGUAGGAUAGAGAAGCAACCGCAGAGGAAAGGAAAGGACAACAAUGACCCAUACGUUAUUGCCCAAGUGCUUAUGAGCAAAGGCCUGUGGAGGCAAGAUUGCGCCAAACCUGUUACAGGAAAUUAGAUAACACGUAUUGUUUGGAAGCUUCAGCUCUAUCCUCCAAUUCCAUUAGCUAUUCCUUGACUCUCAAUCCUUUGGGGGUCAGGGCCACGUCAACUCCAGCGCUGGGGUCUCCAAGAAGAACUCAACUGACAGCUACGACUGCCCACCCAGCACCCGAUCACUUGGACCCUGGGGCUGCAGGUCUAGGCAGGGCCCCCGAAGGCCCAGCUAUGUGGCUGGUGUUCACUUGGUGGCUCAUUUUCGCUCUGAUAUUUUGGGAUCCCAAUUAAUGUUCAUACCUUUUGAGACUUUAUUAUUUACUCCCAAAGAACAGUUUGUUUGUUUUUUAAGUUUUGGUUAGAUGCAGACUUCUCAAGGGCAGAAAUUUCUGAAUUAUCUUUGUAAUCCCAGGACUUGACACGUGGAAGCCAGCACAGAGGACAACAAAGAAAGAAAGGUAGCCAGUCUUCCCGAGAGACCUGGAGGGAACAUUUUGAUAGGUCUCCUUUCUUCUAUAAAUGUUUUUCCCAGGGGUGAGAAUAUAAAGUAUGUACAAUUUGCAAUCCUACUUUUUGCUUUCAAUUAAUGUGAUACAGGCAUUUUCCUGUGUGCUAUCAUCUGAAUCUGAAUAAUUGGGCCUCCCACCCCAGAUUUACAUGUUGAAAACUUGAUGCUCUAGGUGGUAGUAUUAGGAGGUGGGGCCUUUGGUCAGUAGGCCAUGAGGGUGGAGCCUUCAUAAAUGGGAUUAGUGUUCUUAUAAAAGAAUCCCCAGACAGCUUGCUUCCCUCUUUUACAAUGUGAAGAUAUCACAAGUGUGCGACCUGAAGAGGACCCUUACCCCACCAUGCUGGCACCCUGAUCUUGGACUUCCAGCCUCCAGAACUGUAAGAAAUAAAUUUCCGUUGUUUAUAAACAACCUAGUCUUGGGGCGCCUGGGUGGCUCAGUCAGUUAUGCGUCCAACUUGCAUCCAGCUUUGGCUCAGGUCACGAUCUUGCGGUUCGAUUCGUGAGUUCGAGCCCCGCAUCAGGUUCUGUGCUGACAGCUCAGAGCCUGGAGCCUGCUUCAGAUUCUAUGUCUCCCUCUCUCUCUGCCCCUCCCUUGCUCAUGCUCUGUCUCUCUCUCUCUCUCUCUCUCUCAAAAAU